This 253-nucleotide ribosomal RNA is filed under the name uncultured bacterium. RNAcentral describes it as "partial 16S ribosomal RNA". It matches the Rfam family "Bacterial small subunit ribosomal RNA", at positions 524 to 776 of the family's 1533-position model. The record is from RNAcentral.
UACGUAGGGAGCAAGCGUUGUCCGGAAUCAUUGGGCGUAAAGCGCGCGUAGGCGGCCCGGUAAGUCCGCUCUGAAAGUCCAGGGCUCAACCCUGGAAAGCGGGUGGAUACUGCCGGGCUAGAAUCCGGAAGAGGCGAGUGGAAUUCCUGGUGUAGCGGUGGAAUGCGCAGAUAUCAGGAGGAACACCGAUGGCGAAGGCAGGUCUCUGGGCCACUACUGACGCUGAGAAGCGAAAGCAUGGGGAGCGAACAGG